RNAcentral lists this ribosomal RNA (424 nucleotides) under Verrucomicrobiota bacterium. RNAcentral describes it as "Verrucomicrobia bacterium partial 16S ribosomal RNA". It matches the Rfam family "Bacterial small subunit ribosomal RNA", at positions 355 to 776 of the family's 1533-position model. Lineage: Bacteria; Pseudomonadati; Verrucomicrobiota. The record is from RNAcentral.
UGAGGAAUAUUGGUCAAUGGACGGAAGUCUGAACCAGCCAAGUAGCGUGCAGGAUGACGGCCCUAUGGGUUGUAAACUGCUUUUGUAUGGGGAUAAAGUUAGGGACGUGUCCCUAUUUGCAGGUACCAUACGAAUAAGGACCGGCUAAUUCCGUGCCAGCAGCCGCGGUAAUACGGAAGGUCCGGGCGUUAUCCGGAUUUAUUGGGUUUAAAGGGAGCGUAGGCUGUCUAUUAAGCGUGUUGUGAAAUAUACCGGCUCAACCGGUGGCUUGCAGCGCGAACUGGUCGACUUGAGUAUGCAGGAAGUAGGCGGAAUUCAUGGUGUAGCGGUGAAAUGCUUAGAUAUCAUGACGAACUCCGAUUGCGCAGGCAGCUUACUGUAGCAUAACUGACGCUGAUGCUCGAAAGUGCGGGUAUCAAACAGG